Molecule: long non-coding RNA, 2396 nt
Organism: Oncorhynchus tshawytscha (Chinook salmon)
Lineage: Eukaryota; Metazoa; Chordata; Actinopteri; Salmoniformes; Salmonidae
Source: Ensembl
CUAAUGUAACAAAAAGUACUUUCUGAAGCCACUGUGUAUAAGAAUGCUGUUCUUUGACUAUAGCUCAGCCUUCAACACCAUAGCACCCUUCAAGCUCAUCAUUAAACUCAGGGCCCUGGGUCUGAACCUCGCCCUGUGUUACUGGGUCUUGGACUUCCUGACAGGCCGCCCCCCAGUUGGUGAAUGGUAGGAAACAAUACCUCCACUUCGCUGAUCUUCAACACAGGGAACCCAAGUGUGCACGCCUCCAACUCAAUCAUCAAGUUUGCAGGUGACACAACAGUAGAAGCCCUGAUUACCAACAUUGAUGAGACAGCCUACAGGGAGGAGGUGAGGGCCCUGGUGGAGUGGUGCCAGGAAAAUAACCUCUCCCUCAACGUCAACAAAAUGAAGGGGCUGAUCGUGGAGUUCAGGAAACAGCAGAGGGAACACACCUCUAUCCACAUCGACAGGACCGCAGUAGAGAAGGUGAAAACAACAGCGCCUCUUCAAACUCAAGAGGACAUCAACCACCUGAGCCAUGGCCUGUUCACCCCGCUAUCAUCCAGAAGGUGAGGAGCUCCCCUCCUCCUUCCAUCCCUCAUGCACUUCUCUAUGGGACUGUGAAGAGGACACCUGCCCUUUUGGACACCUCCUUUCCCCUGUCUCCUUGCAUCCCGGCAUCUCUCCUUUAAUCCACUGCCCCAUGGGAAUGGGAAGAGGACACCAUCCCCAUAGGAGCGAGACACAUGAAGACUGUCUUGCUUCCCUAAUAAAAGUUGGUACUCUCAAGGGAGGGAAGGAGAGAGUGUUGAAAAAUACGUGGCUACAGACAGAAGAUAUCAUAAUGGCAAAUCAUGAAGGAAUAUGUAUGAUGCUUUGAUACCACUGACACAGACAGGAUGGGAAAAGGAGGGGAAAGAGAGAAGUAGGGAUAAGAAGGGUGAGGAGAGGUGGUGGGAAAGUGCUGACUUAAGUCUUACUUAUACUAGCCACAGUUAGAAACAUAGUAUGGAGCCCCAAGCUAGCUCCAGCCUCCACCUUUCCCCGUCAGAAGACAUGCCCAGACAGAGCACUCCAUCCUGGGCUGAUGGAUGCUUGGGAGCCCCCCUGCCCUCGUUCUUCUGUUCUGGCUUCCUCUGCCCUCAGGGAAGGGGUAGGUUGGGAAAAGAGGAUUCAGACACUUGCGCACACUAAAACACACACCAAAGACUCUCUGGCUGCCUGGGAACUACUCCGAGACAUAUUGAACAGACUGCGAGAGCUGCAAUAUCGCACACAGAGAGAGAGAGAGAGAGAGAGAGAGAGAGAGAGAGAGAGACGUAAACACCAAUCUGUGCCUUCAGGAAUCUUUUAUACAGAUGUCUAUGGUCAUAAUCUCUGUGAGAAGGUAUCAUUAACAAGCAGUGUGUGUGUGUACGAACUGUGUGUCAAAGUGUGUGUGUAUGUAUGUGUCUAAGUGUGUGCGUGCUGAAGUAAAGCUAGAACACAAAAGGGAAACAUCAGUUUAGUAUUCCUCCUAAAAUUGUCCCCAUUACUGCAUAGGUAUGUUUCCAUGACAACCUUGUUGCCUUCGUCAAUUUGAUACGCAACAGGCGUGGGAAAAGGAUGACAACACACACACUGACAAACUGUCCGGUUAUUUGAAUACAAUGCAGUUAAGUACAGGUGACUCCCACAGCUACAACAUAAUGCUAUAGAGAGCUAAAGGGACAAAGAGACUUCACAUGGUGAUCAGGUUACUGACCUGCUCAGAUUCACACAUUCCUCAAACACCUACUUGUUGGAAGACACACACAGGGACACACACGUGUGCGUGUGUUUGAGUCUGCGCUUAUGUGUCCUUAGGUGUGGGAAUAUUUUACAAAAAGUGAAAGUUUGCCAAUAUGGAACAGUUUCUGAGUUGAAAGAUCUAACAUUAAGGAAGUUCACACACACCCAUGUUCCAAGUUAGUCAAGUUGUCAGUUUAACCUUGUCAGUUUAAAUUGUUUGUCAAGUUGCUAAUUUAACAUGGUCAGCUUAAAUUAGUCAAGUUGUCGGUUUAACCUUGUCAGGAAUCUUGUGGUCUUUUCUCUUCUCUUUUUCUGAUUCUUAAAUCUUUUUUGAAUUGUGAAUAAAAUGGGAAUGAAUUCUGAAUCGAAUUGUAAUGAAAUGGAACCCAGCAAACUGUAGUGUAGUUCUUUGAUCCAACGACUAAGGGUUACUCGUGCACAUACACACAGACGCUGUAUUGCUGUACUGAAGAUACUGUUAGUAAGGUAGGGGUCUCACAAAACUGUGUGUGUGUGAGAGCUGGGGUAUCUGUGUGUGUUUGUGUGUCGAUGAGUUCUUGGGAUGCCUUGUGUUUAUAAUCAUCAAUGUUAUCGGAUUAUCUCAUAAUUGUAUCCUUAUGUUCUUGUAGGAAAAACCAAUUAAA